GACGAACGCUGGUGGCGUGCUUAACACAUGCAAGUCGAACGAUGAAGCCGGAGCUUGCUCUGGUGAAUUAGUGGCGAACGGGUGAGUAACACGUGAGUAACCUGCCCUUGACUCUGGGAUAACUGCUAGAAAUGGUAGCUAAUACCGGAUACGACCCUCGGAGGCAUCUUCAGGGGGUGGAAAGAAUUUCGGUCAAGGAUGGACUCGCGGCCUAUCAGCUAGUUGGUGAGGUAAUGGCUCACCAAGGCGACGACGGGUAGCCGGCCUGAGAGGGUGACCGGCCACACUGGGACUGAGACACGGCCCAGACUCCUACGGGAGGCAGCAGGGGGGAAUAUUGCACAAUGGGCGCAAGCCUGAUGCAGCAACGCCGCGUGAGGGAUGACGGCCUUCGGGUUGUAAACCUCUUUUAGUAGGGAAGAAGCGAAAGUGACGGUACCUGCAGAAAAAGCACCGACUAACUACGUGCCAGCCGCCGCCGUAA
RNAcentral lists this ribosomal RNA (484 nucleotides) under uncultured bacterium. RNAcentral's name for it is "partial 16S ribosomal RNA". It matches the Rfam family "Bacterial small subunit ribosomal RNA", at positions 28 to 523 of the family's 1533-position model. The record is from RNAcentral.